GGAGCGCUCAGGGCCAGUUUAAUGCCACAAACACCGCUCGAGCGCCAUUUUUGGGCGCUAAGCGUCGGGAACAUGGGCUUGGACCUGUUUUCUGCGAUUUUUAUGAUCUGUUUGGGCUUGGACUUGUUUUCUAUUAUUUUGAUGUCCUAUUUAAAGACCUAGACACCUUAGGGUUUGUAAUCUAUUGGCAGAUAGGACACAGAAACACUCUUUUCACCCCUUGGAGGAGGAUUUUGGAUGUGGGAGCUCCAAUCUACAAAAUCUAGGGUUGAUCUUUUCAUCCUUUACAUUCAAUUCAUAUAGUUUCACCAUGUCAAUAGUGAACUAAAACCUUUGUUGUUGGGGAACGAUGUAAUCCUUUUGAAAC
Molecule: long non-coding RNA, 367 nt
Filed under: Vigna radiata
Lineage: Eukaryota; Viridiplantae; Streptophyta; Magnoliopsida; Fabales; Fabaceae
Description: long non-coding RNA (VRAD_LNC008347)
Source: RNAcentral